UUGAUCCUGGCUCACGACGAACGCUGGCGGCGCGCCUAACACAUGCAAGUCGAACGGAGCUGAGAGGAGCUUGCUUUUCUUAGCUUAGUGGCGAACGGGUGAGUAACGCGUGAGUAACCUGCCCUGGAGUGGGGGACAACAGUUGGAAACGACUGCUAAUACCGCAUAAGCCCACGGCCCGGCAUCGGGCUGCGGGAAAAGGAUUUAUUCGCUUCAGGAUGGACUCGCGUCCAAUUAGCUAGUUGGUGAGGUAACGGCCCACCAAGGCGACGAUUGGUAGCCGGACUGAGAGGUUGAACGGCCACAUUGGGACUGAGACACGGCCCAGACUCCUACGGGAGGCAGCAGUGGGGGAUAUUGCACAAUGGGGGAAACCCUGAUGCAGCGACGCCGCGUGGAGGAAGAAGGUUUUCGGAUUGUAAACUCCUGUCGUUAGGGACGAUAAUGACGGUACCUAACAAGAAAGCACCGGCUAACUACGUGCCAGCAGCCGCGGUAAAACGUAGGGUGCAAGCGUUGUCCGGAAUUACUGGGUGUAAAGGGAGCGCAGGCGGACCGGCAAGUUGGAAGUGAAAACCAUGGGCUCAACCCAUGAAUUGCUUUCAAAACUGCUGGCCUUGAGUAGUGUAGAGGUAGGUGGAAUUCCCGGUGUAGCGGUGGAAUGCGUAGAUAUCGGGAGGAACACCAGUGGCGAAGGCCGACCUACUGGGCACCAACUGACGCUGAGGCUCGAAAGCAUGGGUAGCAAACAGGAUUAGAUACCCUGGUAGUCCAUGCCGUAAACGAUGAUUACUAGGUGUUGGAGGAUUGACCCCUUCAGUGCCGCAGUUAACACAAUAAGUAAUCCACCUGGGGAGUACGACCGCAAGGUUGAAACUCAAAGGAAUUGACGGGGGCCCGCACAAGCAGUGGAGUAUGUGGUUUAAUUCGAAGCAACGCGAAGAACCUUACCAGGUCUUGACAUCCGAUGCAUAGCACAGAGAUGUGUGAAGUCCUUCGGGACAUCGAGACAGGUGGUGCAUGGUUGUCGUCAGCUCGUGUCGUGAGAUGUUGGGUUAAGUCCCGCAACGAGCGCAACCCUUAUUGCCAGUUACUACGCAAGAGGACUCUGGCGAGACUGCCGUUGACAAAACGGAGGAAGGUGGGGAUGACGUCAAAUCAUCAUGCCCUUUAUGACCUGGGCUACACACGUACUACAAUGGCGUUUAACAAAGAGAAGCAAGACCGCGAGGUGGAGCAAAACUCAGAAACAACGUCUCAGUUCAGAUUGCAGGCUGCAACUCGCCUGCAUGAAGUCGGAAUUGCUAGUAAUCGCGGAUCAGCAUGCCGCGGUGAAUACGUUCCNCGGGCAUUGUACACACGGCCCGUC
Molecule: ribosomal RNA, 1369 nt
Filed under: uncultured bacterium
Lineage: Bacteria
Description: 16S ribosomal RNA
Rfam family: Bacterial small subunit ribosomal RNA
Source: RNAcentral